AUUGAACGCUGGCGGCAUGCCUUACACAUGCAAGUCGAACGGCAGCACGGGAGCAAUCCUGGUGGAGAGUGGCGAACGGGUGAGUAAAGUAUCGGAACGUGCCCAGUCGUGGGGGAUGACGUAGCGAAAGUUACGCUAAUACCGCAUACGACCUAUGGAUGAAAGCGGGGGAUCGCAAGCCCUCGCGCGAUUGGAGCGGCCGAUAUCAGAGUAGGUAGUUGGUGGGGUAAAGGUUCACCAGGCCGACGAUCUGUAGCGGGUCUGAGAGGACGACCAGCCACACUGGGACUGAGACACGGCCCAGACUCCUACGGGAGGCAGCAGUGGGGAAUUUUGGACAAUGGGCGCAAGCCUGAUCCAGCCAUGCCGCGUGCAGGAUGAAGGCCUUCGGGUUGUAAACUGCUUUUGUACGGAACGAAAAGGUUUGACUUAAUACGUUGGACUCAUGACGGUACCGUAAGAAUAAGCACCGGCUAACUACGUGCCAGCCGCCGCCGUAA
RNAcentral lists this ribosomal RNA (500 nucleotides) under uncultured bacterium. RNAcentral describes it as "partial 16S ribosomal RNA". It matches the Rfam family "Bacterial small subunit ribosomal RNA", at positions 30 to 523 of the family's 1533-position model. The record is from RNAcentral.